UACGAAGGGGGCUAGCGUUGCUCGGAAUCACUGGGCGUAAAGCGCACGUAGGCGGAUUGUUAAGUCAGGGGUGAAAUCCUGGAGCUCAACUCCAGAACUGCCUUUGAUACUGGAGAGCUUGAGUCCGGAAGAGGUGAGUGGAACUCCGAGUGUAGAGGUGAAAUUCGUAGAUAUUCGGAAGAACACCAGUGGCGAAGGCGGCUCACUGGUCCGGUACUGACGCUGAUGUGCGAAAGCGUGGGGAGCAAACAGG
This 253-nucleotide ribosomal RNA is filed under the name uncultured bacterium. RNAcentral's name for it is "partial 16S ribosomal RNA". It matches the Rfam family "Bacterial small subunit ribosomal RNA", at positions 524 to 776 of the family's 1533-position model. The record is from RNAcentral.